UGGCUCUCGCAUCGAUGAAGAACGCAGCGAAAUGCGAUAAGUAAUGUGAAUUGCAGAAUUCAGUGAAUCAUCGAAUCUUUGAACGCACCUUGCGCUCCCUGGUAUUCCGGGGAGCAUGCCUGUUUGAGUGUCGUGAAGUCAUCAUGGGUCAUGAUCUUUAAUUAAUCAUGGCUUGGAUUUGGAGGAUUUUGUUGGCUUUUAAGUUGACUCCUCUUAAAUGCAUUAGCUUAGUAUUUAAUGCUUAGAGCGGUUCACGGUGUGAUAAAUUAUCUACACUUCGACUAAUCUAAGUUGACUAGCUUCUAAUUGAUCUUUAAUGGAUCACUUUGUGUAUUUGACCUCAAAUCAGGUAGGACUACCCGCUGA
Molecule: unclassified non-coding RNA, 366 nt
Filed under: uncultured fungus
Lineage: Eukaryota; Fungi
Description: partial contains 5.8S ribosomal RNA and internal transcribed spacer 2
Rfam family: 5.8S ribosomal RNA (bases 1-133)
Source: RNAcentral